Molecule: ribosomal RNA, 301 nt
Filed under: uncultured bacterium
Lineage: Bacteria
Description: partial 16S ribosomal RNA
Rfam family: Bacterial small subunit ribosomal RNA
Source: RNAcentral
CAGUCGCCACGGUAACACGGAGGGUGCAAGCGUUAUCCGGAUUUAUUGGGUUUAAAGGGUCCGUAGGCGGACUUAUAAGUCAGUGGUGAAAGCCUGUCGCUUAACGAUAGAACUGCCAUUGAUACUGUAAGUCUUGAGUAUAUUUGAGGUAGCUGGAAUAAGUAGUGUAGCGGUGAAAUGCAUAGAUAUUACUUAGAACACCAAUUGCGAAGGCAGGUUACCAAGAUAUAACUGACGCUGAGGGACGAAAGCGUGGGUAGCGAACAGGAUUAGAUACCCCAGUAGUCCCUGUCUCUUAUAC